This 254-nucleotide ribosomal RNA is filed under the name uncultured bacterium. RNAcentral describes it as "partial 16S ribosomal RNA". It matches the Rfam family "Bacterial small subunit ribosomal RNA", at positions 524 to 776 of the family's 1533-position model. The record is from RNAcentral.
UACGUAGGGUGCGAGCGUUGUCCGGAAUUAUUGGGGCGUAAAGAGCUUGUAGGCGGUUUGUCGCGUCUGCCGUGAAAAUCCGGGGCUCAACCCCGGACUUGCGGUGGGUACGGGCAGACUAGAGUGUGGUAGGGGAGACUGGAAUUCCUGGUGUAGCGGUGAAAUGCGCAGAUAUCAGGAGGAACACCGAUGGCGAAGGCAGGUCUCUGGGCCACUACUGACGCUGAGAAGCGAAAGCGUGGGGAGCGAACAGG